Molecule: ribosomal RNA, 507 nt
Filed under: bacterium EP1.43
Lineage: Bacteria
Description: bacterial SSU rRNA
Rfam family: Bacterial small subunit ribosomal RNA
Source: RNAcentral
AUCAGUGGCGAACGGGUGAGUAACACGUGAGCAACCUACCCUUCACUCUGGGAUAAGCCUUGGAAACGAGGUCUAAUACCGGAUACGAGACGCACGGGCAUCUGUAGCGUCUGGAAAGAUUUAUCGGUGGGGGAUGGGCUCGCGGCCUAUCAGCUUGUUGGUGGGGUAAUGGCCUACCAAGGCGACGACGGGUAGCCGGCCUGAGAGGGCGACCGGCCACACUGGGACUGAGACACGGCCCAGACUCCUACGGGAGGCAGCAGUGGGGAAUAUUGCACAAUGGGCGCAAGCCUGAUGCAGCGACGCCGCGUGCGGGAUGACGGCCUUCGGGUUGUAAACCGCUUUCAGCAGGGAAGAAGCGAAAGUGACGGUACCUGCAGAAGAAGCGCCGGCUAACUACGUGCCAGCAGCCGCGGUAAUACGUAGGGCGCAAGCGUUGUCCGGAAUUAUUGGGCGUAAAGAGCUCGUAGGCGGUUUGUCGCGUCUGCUGUGAAAACCUCAGGCUCA